Megalops cyprinoides (Indo-Pacific tarpon) is the source of this 777-nucleotide long non-coding RNA. RefSeq lists it as uncharacterized. The record is from RefSeq and is a predicted model, not a curated record. The transcript has 2 exons. Lineage: Eukaryota; Metazoa; Chordata; Actinopteri; Elopiformes; Megalopidae.
AAUAAAUAUAUGUAUACUUUUCUCUGCUUGCAUUUUUGGCAACUAUGUGUUUAACUGGAUUGCAAUGGACAUUUUCAACCCUGCUAUGCUCUUUUUGCGUGAAAGUGAUGCUUCUGUGACAGCAAUGAACACAUUUGCUUGGUUGAGCUCACCAUGAGGGAGAAUCAAAGACAAUGGAGAUCAACACGGAUCACAACGGAAUCUGUUAAAAAAAGAGGAUUUACCGUGUAUUACAAGACAAAGGAAAACUCUCUAGUGCUACAGCCUUUUUGAAGAAGACAAUAUUUAAUGUGGGUUUUGUUCCAUGCAGUGGUUUGUUGGUGAGCACUUACCUAUGAGAACUGUUUUUUUUUUUUUUUUUGGAUUUUUUUUUCCUCUUUGUGCCGAAAUGCUCAGAGGUGUAUAUUGAAGACAGCCAUUCCUACGCUGUGGCUCUCCGAGGACUACAGGAAACGGCAACACCCUCCCAACAGCGGACAGGACCACAGACACUGCUGUGAGACUGAGAGCACCUAGCCCCUCACUCACCGUGGAUAUGACCUUUGACCCCAGCACCCCUCCUCCACACCAACCACAGAGCCUAGGCCACCACAGCAGUGCCAGCAUGACAAUUGGCGAGCUCACUGCACUGUACAUAGUGAAUAAUGGGACAGGAUGUAGUUUUUUGUGUCACUGUACAAAGAUUUGUUUAUUGUGAUGAGUAUGUCAGAGUUUGUAAUUGUAACUUUCUGAAAAUAUUGUACUAAAAAUGCACUCAAUAAAGAUUAAUCAACUUGA